UUAUGGUGCCGCGUGUGUUUCAGCGGCAUUGCUGGGUGCUGGGAAGAGAAUUCCUCAGUUUCGGAGAAAUACGGACUAUAUUUCUCAGAAGAAACAGGUGUUAGAAGAGGAUACAGGGAUUUCCCAUUCCCAAGCCCUUGGAGGCUUCAAGGAAGAGGAAGAUGCCCCGGGACACCCAGGCAGACAGUCAGGAGCUGAGGAUGGAGACUGGAGAGGACAAAUCCCCGUGGCAGAACCUCUGGAAGAGGCCAUUUUAAGCGGCGCCAAGGCACAAGAAAACGACAGGGAAGGAAAAGCCCCGGAGAUCCCGCACGAGGAGGGG
RNA transcript from Lonchura striata (white-rumped munia), 322 nucleotides. RefSeq lists it as uncharacterized. NCBI's taxonomy places the organism in Eukaryota, Metazoa, Chordata, Aves, Passeriformes, Estrildidae. The record is from RefSeq and is a predicted model, not a curated record.